This 646-nucleotide ribosomal RNA is filed under the name Polypedilum prominens. Its description in RNAcentral is "partial 28S ribosomal RNA". The record is from RNAcentral. Lineage: Eukaryota; Metazoa; Arthropoda; Insecta; Diptera; Chironomidae.
CCAAAUAUCUAAACGGAGAAAUUCAAUAUUGUUUACGCAAUGUGCACUUUUCUCUUAGUAAGACGCCGUGAUCCAUUAGAAAGUGGUGCGUUCCAAGCGCAUAGUGAGUCAUCAAUAGGCCAGUGUGAAGUUUGUCCGGAACGAAUGGCAURAUCUUUUACGGUUGUGUGUAUCGUCUGGUGAGCGCAUUGAUACCUGCAAUGACUGUCUGAUGGAUUUUAUAGGUCACAUCAAUGGUGCCUCGUGUACCAAUGCAUUCGCAUAUUCGAUGUGUACCCGAUCAACGGCGGUUCAGUUUGGGAUACCUUUUGGACCCGUCUUGAAACACGGACCAAGGAGUCUAUCUAGUAUGCGAGUAAAUGGAUAUGUUUGAAAUCUAUUUGCGUAAUAAACGUAACUGUGUUGUGGGAUUACGAUUAGAAGAUUCGCAAGAAUCUCUUUUCUUCCAUCCCGGGGUAUUUUCAUCAACAUAUGCGCAAGCAUAUGGAAAAUAUACCAUGAGCACACUGGAUACGACCCGAAAGAUGGUGAACUAUGCCUGAUCAGGUCGAAGUCAGGGGAAACCCUGAUGGAGGACCGAAGCAGUUCUGACGUGCAAAUCGAUUGUCAGAAUUGGGCAUAGGGGCGAAAGACCAAUCGAACCAUC